This 25-nucleotide non-coding RNA is filed under the name Mus musculus (house mouse). Lineage: Eukaryota; Metazoa; Chordata; Mammalia; Rodentia; Muridae. The record is from RNAcentral.
UGAAAGUCUCCCCUGAGGUAAGUGU